UACGUAGGUGGCAAGCGUUGUCCGGAUUUACUGGGCGUAAAGAGCGCGCAGGCGGUCGGAUUAGUCGCGUGUGAAAGCCCCCGGCUCAACUGGGGAGGGUCACGCGAUACUGUUCGACUCGAAGGCAGGAGAGGGAAGUGGAAUUCCCGGUGUAGUGGUGAAAUGCGUAGAUAUCGGGAGGAACACCAGUGGCGAAGGCGACUUCCUGGCCUGUUCUUGACGCUGAGGCGCGAAAGCUAGGGUAGCAAACAGG
RNAcentral lists this ribosomal RNA (253 nucleotides) under uncultured bacterium. RNAcentral describes it as "partial 16S ribosomal RNA". It matches the Rfam family "Bacterial small subunit ribosomal RNA", at positions 524 to 776 of the family's 1533-position model. The record is from RNAcentral.